Molecule: non-coding RNA, 45 nt
Filed under: Schistosoma mansoni
Lineage: Eukaryota; Metazoa; Platyhelminthes; Trematoda; Strigeidida; Schistosomatidae
Source: RNAcentral
AUCCUGCCGAUGAGUCUCAAAUAGGACGGAACGCGCCUCCUGUAU